CCGACCUUAGCUCAGUUGGUAGAGCGGAAGACUGUAGUGUGAAUGCUGGAAUCUUUAGGUCGCUGGUUCGAAUCCGGCAGGUCGGA
Molecule: transfer RNA, 86 nt
Filed under: Solanum lycopersicum (tomato)
Lineage: Eukaryota; Viridiplantae; Streptophyta; Magnoliopsida; Solanales; Solanaceae
Rfam family: tRNA
About the family: Transfer RNA (tRNA) molecules are approximately 80 nucleotides in length. Their secondary structure includes four short double-helical elements and three loops (D, anti-codon, and T loops).
Source: Rfam by way of RNAcentral